This 478-nucleotide ribosomal RNA is filed under the name uncultured bacterium. RNAcentral's name for it is "partial 16S ribosomal RNA". It matches the Rfam family "Bacterial small subunit ribosomal RNA", at positions 28 to 523 of the family's 1533-position model. The record is from RNAcentral.
GACGAACGCUGGCGGCGUGCUUAACACAUGCAAGUCGAGCGAUGAAGCUCCUUCGGGAGUGGAUUAGCGGCGGACGGGUGAGUAACACGUGGGCAACCUGCCUUAUAGAGAGGAAUAGCCAUCCGAAAGGAUGAUUAAUACCUCAUAAUAUUGUAGCUUCGCAUGGAGCAACAAUCAAAGGAGCAAUCCACUAUAAGAUGGGCCCGCGGCGCAUUAGCUAGUUGGUGAGGUAACGGCUCACCAAGGCGACGAUGCGUAGCCGACCUGAGAGGGUGAUCGGCCACAUUGGGACUGAGACACGGCCCAGACUCCUACGGGAGGCAGCAGUGGGGAAUAUUGCACAAUGGGGGAAACCCUGAUGCAGCAACGCCGCGUGAGUGAUGACGGCCUUCGGGUUGUAAAGCUCUGUCUUCAGGGACGAUAAUGACGGUACCUGAGGAGGAAGCCACGGCUAACUACGAGCCAGCCGCCGCCGUAA